CGGNNUUAUUGGGCGUAAGCGAGCGCAGGCGGUUUUUUAAGUCUGAUGUGAAAGCCUUCGGCUCAACCGAAGAAGUGCAUCGGAAACUGGGAAACUUGAGUGCAGAAGAGGACAGUGGAACUCCAUGUGUAGCGGUGAAAUGCGUAGAUAUAUGGAAGAACACCAGUGGCGAAGGCGGCUGCCUGGUCUGUAACUGACGCUGAGGCUCGAAAGUAUGGGUAGCAAACAGGAUUAGAUACCCUGGUAGUCCAUACCGUAAACGAUGAAUGCUAGGUGUUGGAGGGUUUCCGCCCUUCAGUGCUGGAGCUAACGCAUUAAGCAUUCCGCCUGGGGAGUACGGCCGCAAGGCUGAAACUCAAAGGAAUUGACGGGGGCCCGCACAAGCGGUGGAGCAUGUGGUUUAAUUCGAAGCUACGCGAAGAACCUUACCAGGUCUUGACAUACUAUGCAAAUCUAAGAGAUUAGACGUUCCCUUCGGGGACAUGGAUACAGGUGGUGCAUGGUUGUCGUCAGCUCGUGUCGUGAGAUGUUGGGUUAAGUCCCGCAACGAGCGCAACCCUUAUUAUCAGUUGCCAGCAUUAAGUUGGGCACUCUGGUGAGACUGCCGGUGACAAACCGGAGGAAGGUGGGGAUGACGUCAAAUCAUCAUGCCCCUUAUGACCUGGGCUACACACGUGCUACAAUGGAUGGUACAACGAGUUGCGAACUCGCGAGAGUAAGCUAAUCUCUUAAAGCCAUUCUCAGUUCGGAUUGUAGGCUGCAACUCGCCUACAUGAAGUCGGAAUCGCUAGUAAUCGCGGAUCAGCAUGCCGCGGUGAAUACGUUCCCGGGCCUUGUACACACCGCCCGUCACACCAUGAGAGUUUGUAACACCCAAAGUCNGUGGGGUAACCUUUUAGAACCAGCCGCCUAANUGGGACAGAUGAUUNGGGUGAGUCGUACAG
RNAcentral lists this ribosomal RNA (944 nucleotides) under Lactiplantibacillus plantarum. RNAcentral's name for it is "bacterial SSU rRNA". It matches the Rfam family "Bacterial small subunit ribosomal RNA", at positions 546 to 1494 of the family's 1533-position model. The record is from RNAcentral. Lineage: Bacteria; Bacillati; Bacillota; Bacilli; Lactobacillales; Lactobacillaceae.